RNAcentral lists this long non-coding RNA (203 nucleotides) under Gallus gallus (chicken). Lineage: Eukaryota; Metazoa; Chordata; Aves; Galliformes; Phasianidae. The record is from RNAcentral.
CCUGGAUUCAAUUUUCUGCUUUGUCACUCGGUUCCAGUUUAAAAUUGGGCAUGGUGUGCUCAUCCUCCUGGGAAACCUGCAAGUGGUGCUGUGAUGACCCCUGUAGCCAAGGAAAGAGAAGUGAAUGGCUCAGCCAGAUGUGCUUCCAAACCUAUCCUGAAGAUGCUGACUGCCUAUGCAUCUCCAGGCAUUACGAGUCACUG